UUGAUAAGUUUGGGGGUAGUUAAUUUUUAUUUGCGUUAAUAGAUUGUUAGUAGAUUGUGGUUAGUUAUGUUUUAUUGUUGGUUAAGUGUUGCAUUUAGGAUUGCAUGCUAAUUCCAGCUUUUUGUUAGUUGCGCAUGUUUGGGGCCAAUGAUGAAAUUAAAAUUGCAUGAACAAGUCUAGUAAGGAUUGUUAAGCUAGAGAUAUGAUUUUCUUGACAUAAUUGAAAUCUUUAUCUGUUUGACACUGAUAUUAUCAGGAUAACACGUUUUCAAAAUGACCAUGUUGGCUAAGAAAGUUUAAAUGGAUAGAUAAUAGAAUUCUAAAGGAUGAAUGCUAGUGAAAUGAAGGAACAAUUUGAAUAGCUAGUGAUGACUGAAUUUAGACAUAAACUCAAGUUUGGGGGGAAAAUAUUUGGAGUAUAUAAGCUUUAAAAAUAAAUAAAUAAAUAAAUAAACACCAUGGCAUGCUUUUCUAGUUUUGUGGCCUUUGUUACUUGAGUAAGUACGCCCGAGGGGAUUGUCUCUACACCUAGCGCCCUAAGAUCUUAAUGGCUUGGGAGUCGUUGGUCGAAAGCUCGUUAAAGUAGCACUGGAAGGCCUAAGGGAAUAGAACAAUGCAUAGUCAUGAGAGAAAAAAAAUAGAAAAAUAAAUAAAUAAAUAAAGCGGGAAAAGCGCAAAAAGCCCCCGUUAUAAAAAAAAUAAACAUAAAUAUUCCAUUUUGACCCUUGGACUUUGGUGACUGCUUGAUUUUAGCCGAUUCUAGUUUAUUUGAGGAGUUCUCAAGUUUGCAAUGUAUAAUGCCUUCUAAGAAAUCUAUUAUGUUUCAUAUUUUGCUUUUCAAUGGGUAGCAUGGUCGUUGAACCCACACACACGAUAUCAGUUAUAACAGAUUUAGAUUUAUUGAUUGUUAGGAUAUUAUUGAUCUGCCUUAAUAUGAUAUAUUUGAAUGUUAAUGUGAUUUUUCUGAGGCCUAAUGGACAUACGGUGUGCUAUUUAAUUGCUGGAAUUACAAACAUAUAGAUAGUUUUAGGUGCAUUUGCAUGGUUGUUUAGUUGUUUUUGUGUCUUGUUGCUUGAGGACACGGAACGAUUUAAGUUUGGAGAUAUUUGAUGAUUGGGUAAUAUACCCAUGAAUUGAAUAUAAUCGAGCUUAAAUUAUUGUAUUCUCAAGUCGUUUAGAAGCAUUUUUACUGUGUUUAGUUGUUAUUUUGCAGAUUUGGGAGUUGGAGGGGCAAUUGAGGAAGUUUUGAGCAGAGAAUGGCAGUUUUGUAAUUAAAUUGACUUACAGCGCCGGGGCGCUCUGUAUUGUACUACUCGCAACGUCGGGGUGCUGGAGCGUGAUGUCUGUUGAGUGGAUACGCGUUGACUAAGGGUUUGACUGCAUAAUUGGAGGCUAUUUGAAGUUGAUUUGGACUAGGAUUGAAG
RNAcentral lists this long non-coding RNA (1424 nucleotides) under Panax ginseng (ginseng). Its description in RNAcentral is "long non-coding RNA (PGIN_LNC004789)". Lineage: Eukaryota; Viridiplantae; Streptophyta; Magnoliopsida; Apiales; Araliaceae. The record is from RNAcentral.